CAGCCGCCGCGGGAAUACGUAGGGUGCGAGCGUUAAUCGGAAUUACUGGGCGUAAAGCGGGCGCAGGCGGUUUUGUAAGACAGGCGUGAAAUCCCCGGGCUCAACCUGGGAAUGGCGCUUGUGACUGCAAAGCUAGAGUGCGGCAGAGGGGGAUGGAAUUCCGCGUGUAGCAGUGAAAUGCGUAGAUAUGCGGAGGAACACCGAUGGCGAAGGCAAUCCCCUGGGCCUGCACUGACGCUCAUGCGCGAAAGCGUGGGGAGCAAACAGGAUUAGAUACCCCUGUAGUCCCUGUCUCUUAUAC
RNAcentral lists this ribosomal RNA (301 nucleotides) under uncultured bacterium. RNAcentral describes it as "partial 16S ribosomal RNA". It matches the Rfam family "Bacterial small subunit ribosomal RNA", at positions 509 to 807 of the family's 1533-position model. The record is from RNAcentral.